RNAcentral lists this ribosomal RNA (210 nucleotides) under Bryconops inpai. RNAcentral's name for it is "partial small subunit ribosomal RNA". Lineage: Eukaryota; Metazoa; Chordata; Actinopteri; Characiformes; Iguanodectidae. The record is from RNAcentral.
AAAUCUCGUGCCAGCCACCGCGGUUAUACGAGAGACUCCAGUUGAUAAUACGGCGUAAAGAGUGGUUAAGAAAAUACAACAAAUAAAGCCAAAGACCCCUAAGCCGUCCUACGCACCUCGGGGGCACGAAGCCCAAACACGAAAGUAGCUUUACCCUAACUGUUCUGACCCCACGAAAGCUAAGAAACAAACUAGGAUUAKAUACCCCAC